UUUAGGUUCCUUAUGUUUAGAUUAUUAUUUCCGCUAUUUCUGCUAUUUCUGCGGGUGAUACUAAUGCUCUAUUGUUAUUGUUUUUGUUUUUGUUUUUGUUUUUGUUUUACAGCUGAUUUCCCUUUUUCCUAUGCGCCGUGGGACGAUUGGAAACAGCCUCUCUGCCCUUUCGGGUAGGGGUAAGGCUCGUCUACAUAUUACCCUCC
Molecule: long non-coding RNA, 206 nt
Filed under: Nicotiana benthamiana
Lineage: Eukaryota; Viridiplantae; Streptophyta; Magnoliopsida; Solanales; Solanaceae
Description: long non-coding RNA (NBEN_LNC041120)
Source: RNAcentral